RNAcentral lists this transfer RNA (76 nucleotides) under Gemella haemolysans ATCC 10379. RNAcentral describes it as "tRNA-Cys". It matches the Rfam family "tRNA". From Rfam's summary of the family: Transfer RNA (tRNA) molecules are approximately 80 nucleotides in length. Their secondary structure includes four short double-helical elements and three loops (D, anti-codon, and T loops). The record is from RNAcentral. Lineage: Bacteria; Bacillati; Bacillota; Bacilli; Caryophanales; Gemellaceae.
AGGCGGCUUAGCCAAGUGGUAAGGCACGGGUCUGCAAAACCUUGAUCACCGGUUCAAAUCCGGUAGCCGCCUCCAA